This 85-nucleotide transfer RNA is filed under the name Methanobrevibacter sp. RNAcentral's name for it is "tRNA-Ser". It matches the Rfam family "tRNA". From Rfam's summary of the family: Transfer RNA (tRNA) molecules are approximately 80 nucleotides in length. Their secondary structure includes four short double-helical elements and three loops (D, anti-codon, and T loops). Further hydrogen bonds mediate the characteristic L-shaped molecular structure. tRNAs have two regions of fundamental functional importance: the anti-codon, which is responsible for specific mRNA codon recognition, and the 3' end, to which the tRNAs corresponding amino acid is attached (by aminoacyl-tRNA synthetases). tRNAs cope with the degeneracy of the genetic code in two manners: having more than one tRNA (with a specific anti-codon) for a particular amino acid; and 'wobble' base-pairing, i.e. permitting non-standard base-pairing at the 3rd anti-codon position. The record is from RNAcentral. RNAcentral also lists the same sequence under 4 other names. Lineage: Archaea; Methanobacteriati; Methanobacteriota; Methanobacteria; Methanobacteriales; Methanobacteriaceae.
GCCGAGAUAGUCUAGCCUGGUAAGGCGCGGGACUGGAAAUCCCGUGAGGGUUCACCUCGCCUGGGUUCAAAUCCCAGUCUCGGCG